RNAcentral lists this unclassified non-coding RNA (508 nucleotides) under Hevea brasiliensis (rubber tree). The record is from RNAcentral. Lineage: Eukaryota; Viridiplantae; Streptophyta; Magnoliopsida; Malpighiales; Euphorbiaceae.
GGAGAGUGUCACCCACAAAAUUAUUGCCCCGAGAAGUCCAAUGAAUUUUGUGCUUGAGGCUGCCCGAAUGGAUGUCAAUUGGUGUGUGUCCAAUAGUGGCCGAGGCAAUGAGAUUGCAUGGCCGAAUUAUUGUGGGAAAAAUGGUUCGGCUGGAAAUUGGGUUGUGCAUGGAAAUAGUUCACAUGAGAAGUGGACGUGAAUUGCAUGUGCAUUGAAACAUGCUAAUUGGUGCGCAUGAAUAUUGCUAAGUGGAGGACGUGAAUUGCAUGGGUCAUGCAAGGGGAACCUUCACGUGAGAUGUGUCAUUUGCAUGGGAAUUGUGAGUGGCGCACUAAAUGGGCAUUAGUGGAGAUUCAUGUGCAUGUGGAUGGCUUGGGUUCACAUGAAGAACAUGCAUGGAAUUGUGGUAAGUGGGGCUUAUCACGUGGGGCAAGUGGCCUAAUAUUUGUGCAUGGUGAAGUGACCCAAGUGUAGCGCACUAAUUUGGCCUAAAUGGGGAAUUGCAUGU